This 114-nucleotide ribosomal RNA is filed under the name Escherichia coli BCE032_MS-12. The record is from RNAcentral. Lineage: Bacteria; Pseudomonadati; Pseudomonadota; Gammaproteobacteria; Enterobacterales; Enterobacteriaceae.
UGGCGGCGUAGCGCGGUGGUCCCACCUGACCCCAUGCCGAACUCAGAAGUGAAACGCCGUAGCGCCGAUGGUAGUGUGGGGUCUCCCCAUGCGAGAGUAGGGAACUGCCAGGUA